This 408-nucleotide ribosomal RNA is filed under the name uncultured bacterium. Its description in RNAcentral is "bacterial SSU rRNA". It matches the Rfam family "Bacterial small subunit ribosomal RNA", at positions 354 to 776 of the family's 1533-position model. The record is from RNAcentral.
GUGAGGAAUUUUCUGCAAUGGGCGAAAGCCUGACGGAGAAACGCUGCAUGAAGGAAGAAGGCUCACGGGUCGUAAACUUCUUUUCUCAGAGAAGAAUAAAUGAUGGUAUCUGAGGAAUAAGCAUCGGCUAACUCUGUGCCAGCAGCUGCUGUAAAAUAGAGAAUGCAAGCGUUAUCUAGAAUUAUUAGGCGUAAAGUGUCUGUAGGUGGCUUUUCAAGUCCGUCGUCAAAUCCCAGGGCUCAACCCUGGAUAGCCGGUGGAAACUACCAAGCUGGAGUACGGUAGAGGCAGAGGGAAUUUCUGGUGGAGUGGUGAAAUGCAUUGAGAUCGGGAAGAACACCAACAAGCGAAAGCACUCUACUGGGCCGUCACUGACACUCAGAGACGAAAGCUAGGGGAGCGAAUGGG